UACGUAGGGGGCUAGCGUUGUCCGGAAUCAUUGGGCGUAAAGAGCGUGUAGGCGGUCCGGUAAGUCCGUUGUGAAAGCCCGGGGCUCAACCCUUGAAUGCCGGCGGAUACUGUCGGGCUAGAGUCCGGAAGAGGAAAGUGGAAUUCCCGGUGUAGCGGUGAAAUGCGUAGAUAUCGGAAGGAAGACCAGUGGCGAAGGCGAAUCUCUGGACAGUUACUGACACUGAGGCGCGAAGGCGAGGGGAGCAAACGGG
RNAcentral lists this ribosomal RNA (253 nucleotides) under uncultured bacterium. Its description in RNAcentral is "partial 16S ribosomal RNA". It matches the Rfam family "Bacterial small subunit ribosomal RNA", at positions 524 to 776 of the family's 1533-position model. The record is from RNAcentral.